GCAAUCCACGGGGGGCAGCAGUGGGGAAUAUUGCAAAAUGGGGGAAACCCUGAUGCAGCGACGCCGCGUGGGUGAAGAAGUACUUCGGUACGUAAAGCCCUAUCAGCAGGGAAGAAAAUGACGGUACCUGAUUAAGAAGCCCCGGCUAACUACGUGCCAGCAGCCGCGGUAAUACGUAGGGGGCAAGCGUUAUCCGGAUUUACUGGGGGUAAAGGGAGCGUAGACGGCAUUGCAAGUCCG
RNAcentral lists this ribosomal RNA (240 nucleotides) under uncultured bacterium. RNAcentral describes it as "partial 16S ribosomal RNA". It matches the Rfam family "Bacterial small subunit ribosomal RNA", at positions 333 to 591 of the family's 1533-position model. The record is from RNAcentral.